This 548-nucleotide ribosomal RNA is filed under the name uncultured Glomeromycotina. RNAcentral describes it as "SSU rRNA". It matches the Rfam family "Eukaryotic small subunit ribosomal RNA", at positions 548 to 1098 of the family's 1831-position model. Lineage: Eukaryota; Fungi; Glomeromycota. The record is from RNAcentral.
UUGGAGGGCAAGUCUGGUGCCAGCAGCCGCGGUAAUUCCAGCUCCAAUAGCGUAUAUUAAAGUUGCUGCAGUUAAAAAGCUCGUAGUUGAAUUUCGGGACCAUCAUGUCGGUCGUGCCUCGGUACGUACUGGCAUCGUCGGUUUCUCCCUUCUGACGAACCAUGAUGUCAUUUAUUUGGUGUUGUGGGGAAUCAGGACUGUUACUUUGAAAAAAUUAGAGCGUUUAAAGCAGGCUCACGCUUGAAUACAUUAGCAUGGAAUAAUGAAAUAGGACGUUUGAUUCUAUUUUGUUGGUUUCUAGGAUCGACGUAAUGAUUAAUAGGGAUAGUUGGGGGCAUUAGUAUUCAAUUGUCAGAGGUGAAAUUCUUGGAUUUAUUGAAGACUAACUACUGCGAAAGCAUUUGCCAAGGAUGUUUUCAUUAAUCAAGAACGAAAGUUAGGGGAUCGAAGACGAUCAGAUACCGUCGUAGUCUUAACCAUAAACUAUGCCGACUAGGGAUCGGAUGAUGUUAAUUUUUUAAUGACUCAUUCGGCGCCUUACGGGAAAC